Molecule: transfer RNA, 74 nt
Filed under: Podarcis lilfordi (Lilford's wall lizard)
Lineage: Eukaryota; Metazoa; Chordata; Lepidosauria; Squamata; Lacertidae
Description: tRNA.Ala
Rfam family: tRNA
About the family: Transfer RNA (tRNA) molecules are approximately 80 nucleotides in length.
Source: RNAcentral
GAAGGGCUGCAGCUCAGGGGCAGAGCGUCUGCUUUGCAUGCAGAAUGUCCCAGGUUCAAUCCCUGCCAUCUUCA